Molecule: ribosomal RNA, 490 nt
Filed under: uncultured bacterium
Lineage: Bacteria
Description: partial 16S ribosomal RNA
Rfam family: Bacterial small subunit ribosomal RNA
Source: RNAcentral
AUUGAACGCUGGCGGCAGGCCUAACACAUGCAAGUCGAACGGUAACAGGAAGAAGCUUGCUUCUUUGCUGACGAGUGGCGGACGGGUGAGUAAUGUCUGGGAAACUGCCUAAUGGAGGGGGAUAACUACUGGAAACGGUAGCUAAUACCGCAUAACGUCGCAAGACCAAAAAGGGGGACCUUCGGGCCUCUUGCCAUCGGAUGUGCCCAGAUGGGAUUAGCUAGUAGGUGGGGUAACGGCUCACCUAGGCGACGAUCCCUAGCUGGUGUGAGAGGAUGACCAGCCACACUGGAACUGAGACACGGUCCAGACUCCUACGGGAGGCAGCAGUGGGGAAUAUUGCACAAUGGGCGCAAGCCUGAUGCAGCCAUGCCGCGUGUAUGAAGAAGGCCUUCGGGUUGUAAAGUACUUUCAGCGGGGAGGAAGGGAGUAAAGUUAAUACCUUUGCUCAUUGACGUUACCCGCAGAAGAAGCACCGGCUAACUCCGUG